This 491-nucleotide ribosomal RNA is filed under the name uncultured bacterium. Its description in RNAcentral is "bacterial SSU rRNA". It matches the Rfam family "Bacterial small subunit ribosomal RNA", at positions 39 to 524 of the family's 1533-position model. The record is from RNAcentral.
UCCGGCAUGCGAUUCUUAGCAGUCCCACGGUAACAUGGGUGCUUGCACCUGAUGACGAGUGGCGAACGGGUGAGUAAUACAUCGGAACGUGCCUGGUAGUGGGGGACAACUGCUCGAGAGAGCAGCUAAUACCGCAUGACAUCUUAGGAUAAAAGUGGGGGACCUUCGGGCCUCACGCUAUCAGAGCGGCCGAUGGCAGAUUAGGUAGUUGGUGGGGUAAAGGCCUACCAAGCCUGCGAUCUGUAGCUGGUCUGAGAGGACGACCAGCCACACUGGGACUGAGACACGGCCCAGACUCCUACGGGAGGCAGCAGUGGGGAAUUUUGGACAAUGGGCGCAAGCCUGAUCCAGCAAUGCCGCGUGCAGGACGAAGGCCUUCGGGUUGUAAACUGCUUUUGUACAGAACGAAAAAGCCCUGGUUAAUACCUGGGGCUCAUGACGGUACUGUAAGAAUAAGCACCGGCUAACUACGUGCCAGCAGCCGCGGUAAU